This 256-nucleotide ribosomal RNA is filed under the name uncultured bacterium. RNAcentral describes it as "partial 16S ribosomal RNA". It matches the Rfam family "Bacterial small subunit ribosomal RNA", at positions 524 to 776 of the family's 1533-position model. The record is from RNAcentral.
UACGGGGGGAGCAAGCGUUGUUCGGAUUUACUGGGCGUAAAGGGCGCGUAGGCGGUCGUGACAAGUCACUUGUGAAAUCUCCGGGCUUAACUCGGAACGGUCAAGUGAUACUGUCGGACUAGAGUACAGAAUGGGGCAACUGGAAUUCUCGGUGUAGCGGUGAAAAUGCGUAGAUAUCGAGAGGAACACCUGCGGCGAAGGCGGGUUGCUGGGCUGAUACUGACGCUGAGGCGCGAAAGCCAGGGGAGCGAACGGG